Molecule: ribosomal RNA, 253 nt
Filed under: uncultured bacterium
Lineage: Bacteria
Description: partial 16S ribosomal RNA
Rfam family: Bacterial small subunit ribosomal RNA
Source: RNAcentral
UACGAAGGGUGCAAGCGUUACUCGGAAUUACUGGGCGUAAAGCGUGCGUAGGUGGUUUGUUAAGUCUGUUGUGAAAGCCCCGGGCUCAACCUGGGAAUGGCAAUGGAUACUGGCAGGCUAGAGUGCGGUAGAGGGUAGUGGAAUUCCCGGUGUAGCGGUGGAAUGCGCAGAUAUCAGGAGGAACACCAGUGGCGAAGGCGGCUACCUGGACCAGCACUGACACUGAGGCACGAAAGCGUGGGGAGCAAACAGG